RNAcentral lists this ribosomal RNA (278 nucleotides) under uncultured Christensenellaceae bacterium. RNAcentral describes it as "partial 16S ribosomal RNA". It matches the Rfam family "Bacterial small subunit ribosomal RNA", at positions 511 to 788 of the family's 1533-position model. Lineage: Bacteria; Bacillati; Bacillota; Clostridia; Christensenellales; Christensenellaceae. The record is from RNAcentral.
GCCGCCGCGGUAAUACGGAGGAUGCGAGCGUUAUCCGGAUUUAUUGGGUUUAAAGGGAGCGUAGACGGGAUGUUAAGUCAGCUGUGAAAGUUUGGGGCUCAACCUUAAAAUUGCAGUUGAAACUGGCAUUCUUGAGUGCGGCAGAGGCAGGCGGAAUUCGUGGUGUAGCGGUGAAAUGCUUAGAUAUCACGAAGAACUCCGAUUGCGAAGGCAGCUUGCUGGAGCGUAACUGACGUUGAUGCUCGAAAGUGUGGGUAUCAAACAGGAUUAGAUACCCC